GACGAACGCUGGCGGCGUGCCUAAUACAUGCAAGUCGAGCGAACAGACGAGGAGUUUGCUCCUCCGACGUUAGAGGCGGACGGGUGAGUAACAUGUGGUCAACCUACCUAUACGACAGGGAUAAUUAUGGGAAACCGGAGCUACUACCGGAUAAUUUAUCGAAUUUGAUGGUUCAAUAGUGAAAGACGGUAUUGCUGACACUAAUAGACGGCUCAGCGCCGCAUUCGCUGGUUGGUAAGGUAACGGCUUACCAACGCAACGACGCUUAACCGACCUGAAGGGGUGGUCGGCCAGCCGGUAACUGAGACUGAGUCCAGACACCUGCACUGAGAAGCAGUAGAGAAUCUUCCGCGAUGGAGGAGAGCUUAACAUUGCAACGCCGCGUGAAGGAUGAUGGUCUUCUGCUCGUAGAGCUCUGAUAUUAGUAAAGUACUAAUGUGUAAUUAACUAUGCUCAUCUUGACAGUACCUGGUCAAAAAGCCACGGCUAACUACGUG
This 497-nucleotide ribosomal RNA is filed under the name uncultured bacterium. RNAcentral describes it as "partial 16S ribosomal RNA". It matches the Rfam family "Bacterial small subunit ribosomal RNA", at positions 28 to 507 of the family's 1533-position model. The record is from RNAcentral.